RNAcentral lists this long non-coding RNA (349 nucleotides) under Setaria italica (foxtail millet). RNAcentral's name for it is "long non-coding RNA (SITA_LNC007083)". Lineage: Eukaryota; Viridiplantae; Streptophyta; Magnoliopsida; Poales; Poaceae. The record is from RNAcentral.
GGGAGGCUGGCUGCGAGUGGAGUGGCAACGGGGAGAUGACUGGGCUGGGAGUGACGGGUGGCAGGGAGGGUGGUGGCGCGCGGGAUAAAUAGGCGGAGACUCGAAGGAGCGCGGCGCACGGGCCCGACCGGCUUUGGGCUACGCGGUCACAUGGUGAGGGUGUGUCACGUCUCGUCGCGCGUAGGCCUGUGGCGCCCGGCGAGCGGGCGCUGUAGCGUGCCGUUGGAGCGGUAGGUGCGGCCGGACGGAGGAGGAGGACGGAGCCAGGAAGGCGAGGUCGCGCGCGCUGGGGUCCGGGGGGGUGUCGGGAGCCGUUGCGGCUGCGAGUGUCGGCGGGGUUUCCGGGCCG